Molecule: non-coding RNA, 82 nt
Organism: Danio rerio (zebrafish)
Lineage: Eukaryota; Metazoa; Chordata; Actinopteri; Cypriniformes; Danionidae
Source: Rfam
GGUAGCGUGGCCGAGGGGUCUAAGGCGCUGGAUUUAGACUCCAGUCUCUUCGGGGGCGUGGGUUCGAAUCCCACCGCUGCCA